UGGUUCCAUGAGAUGGGAGAUUACCCCAGGUAUUGCUGCGUAACAAACUGCCUCAAACAGUGGCUUCUAUCUCUAACAUGGGGGCAAGAUUUGGAACUUGAAGAUGAAUUUUUCUUCCUCAUCAAAAGAAUAUCUAAUACUGCCUUCAAAUUAAUAAAAUUGAGUUUAUUCUA
Molecule: long non-coding RNA, 173 nt
Organism: Cercocebus atys (sooty mangabey)
Lineage: Eukaryota; Metazoa; Chordata; Mammalia; Primates; Cercopithecidae
Exons: 2
Source: RefSeq, a predicted model, not a curated record